AAAAUUUUGAAAACCCGCCUCGAUUUUUCUAUCUUCUAUCUAUCUUUCAUCCUUGCAAUCCACUCUCCCCUCUCUGAUACUCUCUCCUCUAUAUCUCCCUUCAUUCUCUACCUCCCGUCUCUCUGUAAACCCUAAGCCAUCGCCACCUCCCUUCUCUCUAGCACGUGCUAGGGUUUUAUUUUCUUUCAAGCUUCCGCUUCUCUCAUUUUCUCUCAACCCAGUACGUGCGAGGGUUCGGAAUAACUGCGCGAAUUUGAACAAUCAAUCUUCCAUUUGAACUUCUUUCAACUCUGGAUCAUCGGGUUUUUUUUUUUCAGAUUCCUUUUCCGAUUUUGUUCAUUUAAGACAAAGAAAGAUUGGGACGAUGGGUAUGUUCAAACCCUAGACCACAUUCAUGCCUCUCCAUCCACACUCGCUACCUUUUCCUCUGUUUCUUCCUCUAACACCAUUGAUCUAGGGAAAAAUCUCCGCCAUCUUCAGUUCAUCUUCAGUAAUAUGGAUUUGCAACCUCUGAUUUUGGAAGGGAGAUAUCGGGUUUCUGGAAUUUUAUCGUGAUAUGAAACCCAAUAACUGAAGUGAUGAGAAGUCAGGGGUAUUUUGGACCAUACGAGUCAAAUAUAUUGGAAGGGUCAUGACCGGUGACAAGGAGGGGCAAGAAGGGCGGCCCAUUAUUUUUAGGGGGCCUAAAAAUAAAGAUAGUUCAGUUUUUCACGUAGUCGCACGCGAUAAGGCGACAUAGAUCGAUUGCAGCAGAACACAUAGAUCAUCCACGAUUCACGCUUCAACGACAGCAUCGACUAACGAGGUCCCAGGGUUGAUGUGAUUCUGUGAAGGAUCAAUUUAUGCACUCCUACAGUCUUGCUUAUUUUUCUGACUGCUAAUCAGGUUCACUCUUUUGUCUGAAUCAGAUUCUUGGAGCACCAAAUGAGGAGGAAAUUUUGUUAAUUCACAAAAUAUUCAGAUUGUGUCUAGCAGGAGGGAGGGAAGUCCAUGAUGUGGUUGUGAAAAGUAUUCAAGAUCUGGCAAAAGCAUUCUCACUUUAUGAUGUUGAAAUGCUGGUAAGAAGGGAAGAAUUACUUCAGUUUACUCAAAUUGCAAUCAUUGGGCUCAAAGAAACUGGUGACAUAGCAUGGUAGAAUAGAUUUUGAAAUCUCACAAAUACAUCAAUGAUUGAAUAGAAUGAAAUGCCAGCAAUCUGCACAUGAAGCCAGUGACAAUUCUUCUGAGGCAACAAGCACUGCAUCAUUAAUGGAAAUAGAAGAACCUGUUACACAUAUUCAGUUGUGCUGCAGAUUGAAAUCAUUUUUACUGAAGAAACGAUUGUUGAGAUAUGGGGAUAUAAUCGAGACUCAUGCUCAGAGAGUUGAUAUAUUAAAAGUUCUAGUGGAAUCUCUUCAUAACUAGGCCUCCAAAACAGAAAAGCGAAUUUAAUUUGGAGCAGAGGGAAAGAAAAACGAAGCCCUUACUUUUCGUGUAGCUAGAAGCAAUGAAGUCAGCCAAAUUGAGAAGGAGUUAGGAGCUUAAAUUAGUGAGCUUGAAAAGCAAAGAGACAAAAUCAAAGCUGGAUUGAGAGAGAGGAAAAAGUGAUAUGUGUGCAAUACGAAAGAGGAUGAUUGCUGGAGGGAAAUAAUGAACAUCAGGUUGGGCGCAAGUUUUACACCAAUGGGCUAUAAGGUGGACUGAGGUGAUAGAUCAACUAGAGGGGUCAUCCUUUUAAAAGAUUGAUUUUAUCGCCUCUAUAUGUUAAAGGACUUGGUAGAUCAUCAUCCGGUGGAAUCUUGAGUUCCAUUACUUAUGGAGCCAAUGAGAUUGCUUCUUCUAUUCUAGCAAAGUAUCACAAGUCAAAGUAAGUAAAACAAAGGGAAUUUCAAUCGAGUUAAUUUAGAUAAAGAUAAAGGUAUAGGGGAAUCGUCUAUCCUCUUGCAUGCCUUCUAGAACCUUUUAUGCCAUCGUUUUCUAUUGAGGCAAGUAAAUUCCCACUAAUCUGUUUCCAAUCUGUAAAAUACCGUUUUUACCCCUUCAAAUAAUUCUUUCUAUUUGUUUUAUUGAUACACAGGUCCUCAAGCAGCUCAAUUUGCCCCUUCAACUAUCCCUAUAUGAUGAUAAGGGAGAUAUCAAAAAGGCCAAAACCCCUUGGGAGUUCAUACCUAUUGGCCACAAAAUUGGGACCUUUGUUCCAUUAUUCAAGGAAUUGAAAGAUGAAGAAGUGGAGUUUUUCCGGAAUAAAUUUUGCUGGCAGUCAAGCUGACCGAGCUGACUAGGCUGUUAAGGAAGAAGCUAAAGCAAAAAAAGUUACUGAAAAGUUGAAGAACACAAAAAUUUCAGAUAAAAGUGGAAAGAAAGAAAAGGGGGAGAAGUCUGGUGUUGGUGAAAAAGCAAAAACAAAAGGGAGCUGUUGUGGAAAAGGAAGUAACAAAGGGAGAGGAUUCUUUUCCAUUAUUAACUAAAACUACAUGAAGUUAAAGUUAGGUCCUCUUCUUUGUGUUGAGUGCUUGUUGCUCUGAUUUUGAUCUAUGUGUUAAGUGCUUUUCUGUUGGUGCUGAGGUUUAUCCUCAUAAAAGCAAUCAUCCAUAUAGAGUUACAGUUAGUAAUUUCUUAUUGGUAUACAAUUGUUGAAGUUUGUUGUUGUGUUCCACUAUAUCCCCGGUGACCACAAGCCACCACCAGAGGACCACCAUUAAACACCCCCAAUAUCCGGUGGCCACUGCCCACAGAACAAGUAAGGAUGCUUUGAUUUGUUUUUUUACUGAUGUGUUGUUUUUCAGUGACCACCAGCCACCAUCGGAAGACCACCAUUGAAGCCAACCAGGAGAAAUCUUGCUGCCACUGCCAUAUAACAGUCAUCUACUAAAGCAAGGUUGGUGUAAGAGUUGAUGACGAGAACAUUGUUCCAAGACCUUCAGUGAGUUAUGAUGAUGUCCUUUAAUAGCAAUGUAGUAUUAGGUUAUAUAGUUAGCAAUGAUUAUUUGUAUUUGACAUUUUAGUGCAAUGAAUUAUCUUUCUUAUUUAUUGUAUUUUAUUUUGUAUUUUGUAUGACAUUAACUUUUGUGCAAUGGAUUGUAUUUUUUGUA
Molecule: non-coding RNA, 3071 nt
Organism: Lactuca sativa (garden lettuce)
Lineage: Eukaryota; Viridiplantae; Streptophyta; Magnoliopsida; Asterales; Asteraceae
Source: RefSeq, a predicted model, not a curated record